UGCAUCGGCUGGGAAUCGAACCCGGGCCGCCCGCGUGGCUGGCGAGCAUUCUACCACUGAACCACCGAUGC
Molecule: transfer RNA, 71 nt
Filed under: Cordylochernes scorpioides
Lineage: Eukaryota; Metazoa; Arthropoda; Arachnida; Pseudoscorpiones; Chernetidae
Description: tRNA-Gly
Source: RNAcentral